Molecule: long non-coding RNA, 1934 nt
Organism: Gasterosteus aculeatus aculeatus (three-spined stickleback)
Lineage: Eukaryota; Metazoa; Chordata; Actinopteri; Perciformes; Gasterosteidae
Source: Ensembl
GGAACGUUUCCCGUACGCCGGACGGAGCAGACGGAGCAGGAACGAACGGGGAGGAAGAAGGAAGAGGGCGAGAGAAGUGCUUCACGUCAAACUUUGGGGAGCAGUGCUGUGACGUCUGGGAAAUUACAGUAAAACAGUGUUUUUUUUUCAAGAUGUUCAGGACAUUCCAUCAGGUGCCAGUCAGGGAAAAGUGAGCCAAAGUUAAGUUGAAACAAACUAUAGGAAACAGUCUUCUUAUGGUAUGCAGCGAUUUAUUGUAGCAUAUUUAUUAGUGACAAAUAGGAAGAAUUUUCUCACCGGUUUCAGUUGUUGUGCUAAACUAUCAGUUUAGAUAUUUAUUUUGUAGAACAUGAGUGCCAUUAAUCUGCUCAUUUAAUCAGACAGGAAAGCAAAAAAAUAUCCCACACAUUUCACACACAGCUCAGUAAAGGUUUUGCCUCCAGUGAAUUAAACUCAAAUAAACAUCUAAUCACUACAACCUAAACAACCAACAACUCCAACGCGGUGUAUUGCUAUUUCACUUUGGGACUCUUUGUUUGUCCAAUCCUGGAAUUGUUUAUUUCUCUUCCUUCCCUCAGUCAGAGGCCAACGCGACGCCGCCAUUGCCGCACAUCUGGAAACUGAUACGAAAAAAACAAUCCUGCAAAGUCCAUAAGACGGGGAGGAAACCGAGGACGAGGACUUUUCUCCCCCCAAUGCGAGCGAGCAGCAUGACGGAAAUAACUCAACUUCGGGAGGAAACUAUGCAGCCUCACAUCACCCCCCUCCCCCGCCUCCCCCGUGCGUCCUUGCGGAGGGACGGUUGCUCCAACAAAGAUGCUGUUAAAUGGAUUUGUGUGUGCGCGCGUGCAAAUGUGUGCGCGUGUGCCGACACGCAGCGUUUUUGUGCGGCGCUUCGGCAGAAAGCUGAUUAAAGAGCGAGUGAGGAAGUUGCUUUCUACCCCACAGUGGACCGACAAUGUGCAGGAUUAAUCAGGCCCGGCUCCUAUCCACGCAGGUUAAUUAGGGUUAAAUGAUAAUUAGGACACCAUUAAAAAGGCAAACAACCACAGAGGACCCUUAAUCCGUGCGGUGGUGUGCUGCGGCGCGUAGGUUUAUUUGUUUGUGGAGGUGUGUGUGUGUGUGUGUGUGUGAGGUGUUUUUGGGGCAUCUGCUGAGCUAUGAGUUUGUGUGAAUUAGAUAUAAAAAAAAGACAAAGGCCGCUUAGUUUGAACCUCACUGAUGAAAUGUUGUUCUUGACGAAGGUCACGUCACACAGAGUAAAUCUUUCUGAAUGGUUGAAAAUGCAGAAUCCGAGGUGAAAAUACCGACAACAAAGAGCAGCCCCGUCCACGUGCAUCGCAUCCACGCCACGUCACGUUGACCGCCGCUUAUCGAACCGCCCGCAAAAAAGUCCACCGCGGAGGAAAAUAGAAUUAUGACCGACACCCAGAAUGCUUUGCACCUGCACUGAUGGGAUGUAAAUGCGUCCGGCUCGACCUGGAACAUCCUCCGUGUCCCUACUCAGAUACGAUAAUUUGCUCCCGUUUUGUGACACCAGGAUGCUGCAGUGACAAAUUAGAAUUGAUUGGAGCCUCGGCUAAAAUGUCUCAGGAUGUGACCCCUGAGCUCAGAGGCAUUUUGCCGUAUUAGUAUUCUGCCCCUGACUGCUGCUACCUGGCAGCUAAGGUUUUAGAGCAUGAAUUAAAUCAAUGUGCAUCACUGUGGGGAUCUUUCCUUCAUCUCGCUGUAUUGCAGUUACUUGCAUGUCUUUCCACCAGCAUCACUAUAAUACCAUAAUGCAACACAGUCACUUGCAUGACCGUUGUACAUUAAACAUCUCCAAUCAAGUUUUACAUGUUUUUUUGAUGACGAUUUAUUCCCCAAAUCUGCAGAACUCCUUCGCUCUGCUGCACCCAGAUGUUAACUGACCAAAUGUACAACCCCCCCCCCGA